ACGGGGGUUGCGAGCGUUGUCCGGAAUUACUAGGCGUAAAGGGCAGGUAGGCGGAUCCAUAAGUUUAAUGUUUAAGGCAACGGCUCACCCGUUGUAAGGCAUUAGAUACUGUGGAUCUGGAAUGCGGUUGGGGAAGACAGAAUUCCUGGUGUAGCGGUGGAAUGCGCAGAGAUCAGGAGGAAUACCGAAGGCGAAGGCAGUCUUCCAAGCCGUUAUUGACGCUAAACUGCGAAGGUGUGGGUAUCAAACAG
RNAcentral lists this ribosomal RNA (251 nucleotides) under uncultured bacterium. RNAcentral describes it as "partial 16S ribosomal RNA". It matches the Rfam family "Bacterial small subunit ribosomal RNA", at positions 525 to 775 of the family's 1533-position model. The record is from RNAcentral.